Molecule: ribosomal RNA, 490 nt
Filed under: uncultured bacterium
Lineage: Bacteria
Description: partial 16S ribosomal RNA
Rfam family: Bacterial small subunit ribosomal RNA
Source: RNAcentral
AUUGAACGCUGGCGGCAGGCCUAACACAUGCAAGUCGAACGGUAACAGGAAGAAGCUUGCUUCUUUGCUGACGAGUGGCGGACGGGUGAGUAAUGUCUGGGAAACUGCCUGAUGGAGGGGGAUAACUACUGGAAACGGUAGCUAAUACCGCAUAACGUCGCAAGACCAAAGAGGGGGACCUUCGGGCCUCUUGCCAUCGGAUGUGCCCAGAUGGGAUUAGCUAGUAGGUGGGGUAACGGCUCACCUAGGCGACGAUCCCUAGCUGGUCUGAGAGGAUGACCAGCCACACUGGAACUGAGACACGGUCCAGACUACUACGGGAGGCAGCAGUGGGGAAUAUUGCACAAUGGGCGCAAGCCUGAUGCAGCCAUGCCGCGUGUAUGAAGAAGGCCUUCGGGUUGUAAAGUACUUUCAGCGGGGAGGAAGGGAGUAAAGUUAAUACCUUUGCUCAUUGACGUUACCCGCAGAAGAAGCACCGGCUAACUCCGUG